Long non-coding RNA from Trachemys scripta elegans, 345 nucleotides. RefSeq lists it as uncharacterized. Lineage: Eukaryota; Metazoa; Chordata; Testudines; Emydidae. The record is from RefSeq and is a predicted model, not a curated record. The transcript has 3 exons.
UCUUCUGCCUCUGAACCCACCUGCACCCUUUCUGCAAUACCCAGGUACUAGCGAUGUAGAGGCUGCAGACUCUGGAUCGACGAGAUCGACGGUGGACACCAGCGGUGGAUCACAGGCACCAAGGACAGGGAAACAGUCUUCCCACAGAUCCAACCUUGAGUUUAUGAAAAAUUGGCACGUCAGUAUAAGAUAUGGCAUCUUUCCACCUCCCUUCCCAGGGACCAAUGCCCUGCCUUGAGACACACAGAAGACAAUCUGUAUUAUCAUAUCCUUUCACUGUUUCUUUGCUUUAACCCCUAGGAAUGUACCUGUUGGACAAUCAGAGGAGUUGCUUCAUUCCUAUGG